Molecule: ribosomal RNA, 1684 nt
Filed under: Circeis spirillum
Lineage: Eukaryota; Metazoa; Annelida; Polychaeta; Sabellida; Serpulidae
Description: SSU rRNA
Rfam family: Eukaryotic small subunit ribosomal RNA
Source: RNAcentral
UGUUAAUCGUUAUCGGCUUGCUUCGGCAGUCGGGUUUGGAUACUGUGGUAAUUCUAGAGCUAAUACAUGCAAUCGAGCUCAGACCCGGCGACGGGGACGAGCGCUCUUAUUAGACCAAGGCCAAUCUGGUCGCUCGCAAGGGUGGCCAGUUGCUGGUGGUGACUCUGGAUAAACUCAGUUGAUCGCAAUACGGCCUACGGGCCAGCGACGUAUCUUUCAAGCGUAUGCCCUAUCAUGUAGUCGGUAAGGUAGCGGCUUACCGAGCAGACAACGGGUAGCGGGGAAUCAGGGUUCGAUUCCGGAGAGGGGGCAUGAGAAAUGGCCACCACAUCCAAGGAAGGCAGCAGGCGCGCAAAUUACCCAAUCCCGACACGGGGAGGUAGUGACGAAAAAUAACAAUACGGGACUCUUUCGAGGCCCCGUAAUUGGAAUGAGCACAAUUUAAAUCCUUUAGCGAGGAUCUAUUGGAGGGCAAGUCUGGUGCCAGCAGCCGCGGUAAUUCCAGCUCCAAUAGCGUAUAUUAAAGUUGCUGCAGUUAAAAAGCUCGUAGUUGGAUCUCGGGUGCUCACAUGAGCGGGCUGGUCGUGUUCACGCACGUACUGCCCGCUCGGCCCAAUAUGCCGAUGCCCUGCCCUGGCUGUGCGCGCGCAAGCGUUGUGCGGCUGGGAGGGACGCUGCGUUGCUUGUGCCUUUAAUCGGGUGCCUGUGGCGGUCGGUGCGUUUACCUUGAACAAAUUGGAGUGCUCAAGGCAGGUUACGUUAUGCUCGCACAGUUGUGCAUGGAAUAAUGGAAUAGGACUCGCUGUCCAUUUCGUUGGUCUUUGGCUUGUGAGUAAUGAUUAAGAGGGAUUGCCGGGGGCGUCGGUAUGGCGGGGUUAGAGGUGAAAUUCUUGGAUCCUCGCCAGACCAACAAUAGCGAAAGCAUUCGCCAAGAAUGUCUUCAUUAAUCAAGAACGAAAGUCAGAGGUUCGAAGACGAUCAGAUACCGUCGUAGUUCUGACCAUAAACGAUGCCAGCUAGUGGCCGAUAGCAGUUGUAUCCCAUGACUCUGUCGGCCGUCCCCGCGAAAGCGUAAGUUUUCGGGUUCCGGGGGAAGUAUGAGCGCAAGCUUGAAACUUAAAGUAAUUGACGGAAGGGCACCACCAAGCGUGGGUUUUGCGGUUUAAUUUGACUCAACACGGGAAAACUUACCUGGCCAGAACGUGCUAAGGAUUGACAGAUUGAAAGCUCUUUCUCGAUUAUACGAGUGGUGGUGCAUGGCCGUUCUUAGUUGGUGGAGUGAUUUGUCUGCUUAAUUGCGAUAACGAACGAGACUCUGGCUUACUAAAUAGUUAAGCAGGCGGCAUUWCUGCCAACUGAACGGUAUAACUUCUUAGAAGGACUAGGCACGUAACGAGUGCCACGAGAUUGAGCAAUAACAGGUCUGUGAUGCCCUUAGAUGUUCAGGGCCACACGCGUAACACAAUGAUUGGGCGAACGUGUUUCAGCCUCCUGACCCUGACGGGCGGGGCAACCAUGUUCAGGCCCUUUGCUUGGUUUGGGCUCGGCACUUGUAACUAUUUGCCGUGAACCAGGAAUGCUUAGUAGGCGCAAUUCACCAAAUUGUGCCGACUACGUCCCUGCCCUUUGUACACACCGCCCGUCGCUACUACCGAUUGGAUGGCUUAGUGAAACUAUCGAGCGG